AAUUGAAUUAAACUAUAACUUAUAAAAUUGAAUAAGAGUGAAAAACAUGCUUCAAAAUAAGAUGUUCUGGCCAAUAGUUCAAACAGUUCAAUCAAUUCAAAGCAGUGCCAUUUGUUUGAAUUGUUAUAUGGUUCAAUUCAGUUCGCCUGAACUAUUAUGCAGUUUAGUUUAGUUCGUCCAAAUUGCCUUUACAAUUUAAUUCAAUUCUAUAACAGUUCAGUUUGGUUCAUCACUUCAUCUACUUUGCCCACCCCUAAUCAUUUGGCCAGUCUCUUGCUUUUUUACCACCACCCACUAAUGAUGAUUUCAAGUAAGCCAACUUCUUCACCUAUCUGCCUUUUAAGAUUGAUCUCCCAUUUGCAUUAGGGUUCCACUUAAUUCAAUCUUUCUCCUCAUUAUGUUACUUAAGUUAUCAUCAUUUGCUUGUUUGGCGUUAUACUUCCCUUUCUUUCUUAACCAGUGCCUACUUUUAUACCAUCCUAGUUGUCAAUAAACUAUGAUUGAUGGAAUGUGUACGCUAUAGUCACCAACAGUUGAUGAGUUUAUUCUACAAAAACAAAUGACAUCACACACUAACAAUAAAAUCUGGCUUUCUGAAAUUAUUGAAAAGGAGCAUAUGUUCAAUUUCUAGCAGGACCUAAAUAGGGACAUAGACAAAACCAAAGAAGUUUGUUCGGAACAAAAACUUUUCCCUAUGAAUCUAAUUGUUUUUUAACAGAAAAAAGGGAAGGAAGGAUACAAGGAAAGAAUUUUAGGACUAUUUUCUGUUUAGUGAUGGUACAAAUUUUAUAUGGGCUCCACAUUAAAGAGUGGUUGUUUCCCAUUUUGACAGAAAAGGAAGAAUGAGAGCUUGAAAUGUAAACGAAACUAAUGCCCUUAUUUAUAUCACAAGACAUCUCAUUUUUUAUUUAGAGUAUUUGUCAUAUUACACACAGUUUUUUCUCUUUCAUUUUUCUCCCCUACCAACCAACCUACAAAAUCACCUCAAUUCAUUCUACUUUUCGUUCCUUCCAUUUUGUGAAUGUUACAAGAGAGAAAAAAAUGGGUUAUGUUCGAUCUUCCCUACUAGACCAACUACAACUUCUCCAAGUUUUGUACUUACUAGGUUAGUAGUUAGUACUCAAAACAAGUAAAAAAAAUAGAGAAUGAAAAUCAGUGGUGGGCACUACUACAAUCAUGACCAAAUUUUGUAUGGUGGGGGAGCUAAAGAAUCCUUCUUCACCAAAGCUUAUGCAUCUACACCCUUCAACAAAAUGUGGUUACAGAAAGCAAGAAUGGACACCUUUUAGAGGUAUCCCAUUCCUUAAUGUUCCAGAUAAAUAUUACAGAGAAGCUCUCUUACAUUACUGCAGCUCUCAUCAAUAAAUUUAAUGAACCACUGGAUCCUUGCACACCUAUAUCAGCUGCUGGCUACAAGAGAUAUGUCGUUUGACUUGUCAAAAAAGGGACUACAAAAAAGUGGCCAGCCAUUACUCAUUUAGAGAGUAGAGAGCAAUUAGUAGCAAAAAUCCAAGGAUGAAUGUCUAGUAGACUGGGGAUAGAACUGAAGGUGGGGAAUUUGAUAUAUUAGACACUUACAAGGCCCAAUAUUAUCUACAGCAUAGAGCCAGUUUGUGCAUUGUCCAACUGAAAAGGACAAAGGAAUUAUCUAGAGGCAGCCAACUGUAUAUUGAAAUAUCUGAGGGGAACUCCAGGCAAA
This 1699-nucleotide long non-coding RNA is filed under the name Phaseolus vulgaris (common bean). RNAcentral describes it as "long non-coding RNA (PVUL_LNC001255)". Lineage: Eukaryota; Viridiplantae; Streptophyta; Magnoliopsida; Fabales; Fabaceae. The record is from RNAcentral.